GAUGAACGCUGGCGGCGUGCUUAACACAUGCAAGUCGAACGAUGAAGCCCAGCUUGCUGGGUGGAUUAGUGGCGAACGGGUGAGUAACACGUGAGUAACCUGCCCUUAACUCUGGGAUAAGCCUGGGAAACUGGGUCUAAUACCGGAUAGGAGCGUCCACCGCAUGGUGGGUGUUGGAAAGAUUUAUCGGUUUUGGAUGGACUCGCGGCCUAUCAGCUUGUUGGUGAGGUAAUGGCUCACCAAGGCGACGACGGGUAGCCGGCCUGAGGGGGUGACCGGCCACAGGGGGACUGAGAAAGGGCCCGGCCCCCGAGGGGGGGAGGCAGGGGGAAAUAUUGCAAAAGGGGCGAAGGCUGGAGGCAGGGACCCGGGGGGGGGGAGGAGGGCCUGGGGUUUGUAACCCUCUUCAAGUGGGAAAGAAGGGAAGGGGAGGUACCCUGAAAAAAAACCACGGAAAAACUAGGGG
Molecule: ribosomal RNA, 466 nt
Filed under: uncultured bacterium
Lineage: Bacteria
Description: partial 16S ribosomal RNA
Rfam family: Bacterial small subunit ribosomal RNA
Source: RNAcentral